UCCCUGGUGGUCCAGUGGUUAGGAUUCCAGACUUAAACUGCUGGGGGCCCAGGUUUGAUCCCUGGUCAGGGAA
Molecule: non-coding RNA, 73 nt
Organism: Physeter macrocephalus (sperm whale)
Lineage: Eukaryota; Metazoa; Chordata; Mammalia; Artiodactyla; Physeteridae
Source: the annotation of a RefSeq genome assembly